RNAcentral lists this ribosomal RNA (383 nucleotides) under uncultured eukaryote. Its description in RNAcentral is "SSU rRNA". It matches the Rfam family "Eukaryotic small subunit ribosomal RNA", at positions 587 to 969 of the family's 1831-position model. The record is from RNAcentral.
AGCUCCAAUAGCGUAUAUUAAUGUUGUUGCAGUUAAAAAGCUCGUAGUUGGAUUCCUGACCUGGGGUAGCCGGUCCGCCUUGCAAAAGGUGCGCACUGAGCGGCCUCGGUCAUCCUUGAGAAGAGCGGUCCUGGCAUUCAGUUGUCGGGGUCGGGAUUCUCGACGUUUACUGUGAAAAAAUCAGAGUGUUCAACGCAGGCUUACGCCUUGAAUACAUUAGCAUGGAAUAAUGAGAUAGGACCUUGGCGGUCUAUUUUGUUGGUUUGCACGCCGAGGUAAUGAUUAAAAGGGACGGUUGGGGUUCUUCGUAUUCAAUUGUCAGAGGUGAAAUUCUUGGAUUUAUGGAAGACGAACUGCUGCGAAAGCGUCGAACAAGGACGUUC